GGUCAGGUAGCUCAGCCGGUAGAGCAGGGGACUGAAAAUCCCCGUGUCGGCGGUUCGAUUCCGUCUCUGACCA
RNAcentral lists this transfer RNA (73 nucleotides) under Spirochaetae bacterium HGW-Spirochaetae-5. RNAcentral's name for it is "tRNA-Phe". It matches the Rfam family "tRNA". Rfam says of the family: Transfer RNA (tRNA) molecules are approximately 80 nucleotides in length. Their secondary structure includes four short double-helical elements and three loops (D, anti-codon, and T loops). Further hydrogen bonds mediate the characteristic L-shaped molecular structure. tRNAs have two regions of fundamental functional importance: the anti-codon, which is responsible for specific mRNA codon recognition, and the 3' end, to which the tRNAs corresponding amino acid is attached (by aminoacyl-tRNA synthetases). tRNAs cope with the degeneracy of the genetic code in two manners: having more than one tRNA (with a specific anti-codon) for a particular amino acid; and 'wobble' base-pairing, i.e. permitting non-standard base-pairing at the 3rd anti-codon position. The record is from RNAcentral. RNAcentral also lists the same sequence under 1 other name. Lineage: Bacteria; Pseudomonadati; Spirochaetota.